RNAcentral lists this ribosomal RNA (337 nucleotides) under Boophis reticulatus. Its description in RNAcentral is "partial 16S ribosomal RNA". It matches the Rfam family "Bacterial large subunit ribosomal RNA", at positions 1976 to 2472 of the family's 2925-position model. The record is from RNAcentral. Lineage: Eukaryota; Metazoa; Chordata; Amphibia; Anura; Mantellidae.
UUAAAUGGGGACUAGUAUCAACGGCAUCACGAGGGUCCCACUGUCUCCCCCCUCCAAUCAGUGAAACUGAUCUCCCCGUGAAGAAGCGGGGAUAAGUAUAUUAGACGAGAAGACCCCAUGGAGCUUUAAACCCGACAGCACCCACUUAUUUAACACCUUCUUAUCCGCCUGGCCCCUGUCUGCUCGGUUUUGGGUUGGGGUGACCGCGGAGCAUAAAAUAGCCUCCACGAAAGAAGGGAUGAUUCCCUCAUUUUAGAACUACACUUCCAAAGACUAACAAAUUAAUUUUAAGUGAUCCGAUACCCGUAUUCGAUCAACGAACCAAGUUACCCCUGGG